GACGAACGCUGGCGGCGUGCUUAACACAUGCAAGUAGAACGGAAAGGCCAUGCUUUUGUGGGGUGCUCGAGUGGCGAACGGGUGAGUAAGACGUGAGUAACCUGCCCUAGCCUGUGGGAUAACUUCAGGAAACUGGGGCUAAUACCGGAUAGGAGCUCCUGCUGCAUGGUGGGGGUUGGAAAGUUACGGCGGGUGGGGAUGGACUCGCGGCCUAUCAGCUUGUCGGUGGGGUAGUUGCUUAGCAAGGUUUUGACGGGUAGCCGGCCUGAGAGUGUGACCCGCCACAUUGGGACUGGGAUACCGCCCAGACUCCUACGUGGGGCAGCAGUGGGGGAUAUUGCGCGCUGGGCGGAAGCCUGAUGCAGCAACUCCGCGUGCUGGAUGACGGCCUUCGGGUUGUAACCCGCUUUCGCCUGUGACGAACCGUGAGUGACGGUAAUGGGUAAGGAAGCACCGGCUAACUACGUG
This 468-nucleotide ribosomal RNA is filed under the name uncultured bacterium. Its description in RNAcentral is "partial 16S ribosomal RNA". It matches the Rfam family "Bacterial small subunit ribosomal RNA", at positions 28 to 507 of the family's 1533-position model. The record is from RNAcentral.